Molecule: non-coding RNA, 316 nt
Organism: Chiloscyllium plagiosum (whitespotted bambooshark)
Lineage: Eukaryota; Metazoa; Chordata; Chondrichthyes; Orectolobiformes; Hemiscylliidae
Source: RefSeq, a predicted model, not a curated record
GCGUGACAUCAACGGGAUUCUACAGAUUGUUUUCCUGACUCAAGUGGAGGAAGUUGCUGUGUCUCUUCUAUCAGGAUGUAAUCAUGCAUUUACCUUCGCAUGAGAACUGAUCAGCCAUCAGUCUAAAACCAGAGAAACAGGAACAAAUAGUGUUUUCUCCAAUCUGUGUGCAACGGUGCAUGCAUGGACUAGCAUCUACACUUAUCCAUCUCUGAAGAAUUCGUCAACCUUGAAUUAUGGAAAAUACUCAAUGCUCGUAGCAUUCAUAACAAAGCCGAUGAACUAAUGGCACAGAUAAUAGUGAAUGAUUAUGAUG